Molecule: ribosomal RNA, 443 nt
Filed under: uncultured bacterium
Lineage: Bacteria
Description: SSU rRNA
Rfam family: Bacterial small subunit ribosomal RNA
Source: RNAcentral
AGAGCGAACGCUGGCGGCAGGCCUAACACAUGCAAGUCGAACGCACCUUCGGGUGAGUGGCGGACGGGUGAGUAACACGUGGGAACGUACCUUUUGGUUCGGAAUAACGCAGGGAAACUUGCGCUAAUACCGAAUGUGCUCCGUAAGGAGGAAAGAUUUAUCGCCAUUAGAGCGGCCCGCGUUAGAUUAGCUAGUUGGUGAGGUAAAGGCUCACCAAGGCUACGAUCUAUAGCUGGUCUGAGAGGAUGAUCAGCCACAUUGGGACUGAGACACGGCCCAAACUCCUACGGGAGGCAGCAGUGGGGAAUCUUGCGCAAUGGGCGAAAGCCUGACGCAGCCAUGCCGCGUGAAUGAUGAAGGUCUUAGGAUUGUAAAAUUCUUUCAGUAGGACGAUAAUGACGGUACUACAGAAGAAGCCCGGCUAACUUCGUGCCAGCAGCCGC